UGGGAUUUCAUAGACAACUAGGAUGUUGGCUUAGAAGCAGCCAUACAUUUAAAGAGUGCGUAACAGCUCACUAGUCGAGAAAACCUGCGCCGAAAAUUUAACGGGGCUAAAACACGACACCGAAGCUACGGCUUGACAGCUAACGCUGUUAGGGGUAGAGGAGCAUCCUGCAAGGACGAAGCCAAAGUGGAAACGAUGGUGGACGAAACAGGAGAGAGAAUGCCGGAAUGAGUAGCGAGAUAGAAGUAAGAAACUUCUAGGCCGAAUAUCUAAGGUUUCCUGGGUAAAGCUAAUCUUCCCAGGGUUAGUCGGGGCCUAAGGCGAGGACGAAAGUCGUAGUCGAUGGAUAACAGGUUGAUAUUCCUGUACUACGUAUCAUCAGAACUGUGGGGACGCAGGAGGAUAGGAAAACCGGGGAAUGGAAAAACCCGGCUAAGCACAAAGUCAAGGGAGAUAGGCAAAUCCGUCUCUUGAUGAUGAAGUGCGAUGGGGACUGAACAAAAGUAGGGAAGUUUCCGAAUCCACACUGUCGAGAAAAGCCGCUAUUGUGUGAUACGUACCCGUACCGUAAACCGACACAGGUAGAUGAGGAGAAAAUCCACAGGCCGACGGGAGAAGUGUUGUUAAGGAACUCGGCAAAAUGACCCCGUAACUUAGGGAGAAGGGGAGCCACGCAAGUGGCCGCAGAAAAGAGGCUCAAGCGACUGUUUAGCAAAAACACAGGUCUCUGCGAAACCGAAAGGUGAAGUAUAGGGGCUGACACCUGCCCGGUGCUGGAAGGUUAAAAGGAGAGGUUCGACGUAAGUCAAAGCUUUGAAUUCAAGCCCCAGUAAACGGCGGCCGUAACUAUAACGGUCCUAAGGUAGCGAAAUUCCUUGUCAGGUAAGUUCUGACCCGCACGAAAGGUGUAACGAUUUGAGCACUGUCUCGACAACACGCCCGGUGAAAUUGAAGAACCAGUGAAGAUACUGGUUACCCGCAACAGGACGGAAAGACCCCAUGGAGCUUUACUGCAGCCUGAUACUGGGAUUCGAUGAUAUAUGUACAGGAUAGGAGGGAGACUAGGAAUCCGGGACGCCAGUUUCGGAGGAGUCGACGGUGGGAUACCUCUCUUAUGUUAUUGGAUUUCUAACUUGGCACCGUGAUCCGGUGUGAGGACAAUGUCAGGCGGGCAGUUUGACUGGGGCGGUCGCCUCCUAAAAGGUAACGGAGGCGCUCGAAGGUCACCUCAGAAUGAUUGGAAACCAUUCAAAGAGUGUAAAGGCAAAAGGUGGCUUGACUGCGACACCGACGGGUGGAGCAGGUACGAAAGUAG
RNAcentral lists this ribosomal RNA (1315 nucleotides) under human gut metagenome. Its description in RNAcentral is "bacterial LSU rRNA". It matches the Rfam family "Bacterial large subunit ribosomal RNA", at positions 1076 to 2408 of the family's 2925-position model. The record is from RNAcentral.